RNAcentral lists this ribosomal RNA (443 nucleotides) under uncultured bacterium. RNAcentral describes it as "bacterial SSU rRNA". It matches the Rfam family "Bacterial small subunit ribosomal RNA", at positions 355 to 796 of the family's 1533-position model. The record is from RNAcentral.
UAGGGAAUAUUGGUCAAUGGAGGCAACUCUGAACCAGCCAUGCCGCGUGCAGGAAGAAGGCCCUCUGGGUUGUAAACUGCUUUUAUACAGGAACAAAUGACUCUUGCGAGAGUAGCUGAGUGUACUGUAAGAAUAAGCCACGGCUAACUACGUGCCAGCAGCCGCGGUAAUACGUAGGUGGCAAGCGUUGUCCGGAUUUAUUGGGUUUAAAGGGUGCGUAGGCGGCCUUGUAAGUCAGCGGUGAAAACUUACAGCUUAACUGUAAGACUGCCAUUGAUACUGCAGGGCUUGAAUUCAAACGAGGUUGGCGGAAUUAAAGGUGUAGCGGUGAAAUGCAUAGAUAUCUUUAAGAACACCGAUAGCGAAGGCAGCUAACUAGGAUGAUAUUGACGCUGAGGCACGAAAGCGUGGGGAGCAAACAGGAUUAGAUACCCGCGUAGUCC